GGAACGAACGCUGGCGGCAUGCCUAAUACAUGCAAGUCGAACGAACACUUCGGUGUUAGUGGCGCACGGGUGCGUAACGCGUGGGAAUCUGCCCUUGGGUUCGGAAUAACAGUUGGAAACGACUGCUAAUACCGGAUGAUGACGAAAGUCCAAAGAUUUAUCGCCCAGGGAUGAGCCCGCGUAGGAUUAGCUAGUUGGUGAGGUAAAGGCUCACCAAGGCGACGAUCCUUAGCUGGUCUGAGAGGAUGAUCAGCCACACUGGGACUGAGACACGGCCCAGACUCCGUACGGGAGCAGCAGUAGGGAAUAUUGGACAAUGGGCGCAAGCCUGAUCCAGCAAUGCCGCGUGAGUGAUAGGAAGGUCCGUUAGGGUUAUAAAGCUUACCGUUUACCGAGUA
RNAcentral lists this ribosomal RNA (398 nucleotides) under uncultured soil bacterium. RNAcentral's name for it is "bacterial SSU rRNA". It matches the Rfam family "Bacterial small subunit ribosomal RNA", at positions 27 to 448 of the family's 1533-position model. The record is from RNAcentral.